Molecule: ribosomal RNA, 468 nt
Filed under: uncultured bacterium
Lineage: Bacteria
Description: partial 16S ribosomal RNA
Rfam family: Bacterial small subunit ribosomal RNA
Source: RNAcentral
GACGAACGCUGGCGGCGUGCUUAACACAUGCAAGUCGAACGGAAAGGCCCUGCUUUUGUGGGGUGCUCGAGUGGCGAACGGGUGAGUAACACGUGAGUAACCUGCCCUUGACUUUGGGAUAACUUCAGGAAACUGGGGCUAAUACCGGAUAGGAGCUCCUGCUGCAUGGUGGGGGUUGGAAAGUUUUGGCGGUUGGGGAUGGACUCGCGGCUUAUCAGCUUGUUGGUGGGGUAGUGGCUUACCAAGGCGUUGACGGGUAGCCGGCCUGAGAGGGUGACCGGCCACAUUGGGACUGAGAUACGGCCCAGACUCCUACGGGAGGCAGCAGUGGGGAAUAUUGCACAAUGGGCGGAAGCCUGAUGCAGCAACGCCGCGUGCGGGAUGACGGCCUUCGGGUUGUAAACCGCUUUCGCCUGUGACGAAGCGUGAGUGACGGUAAUGGGUAAAGAAGCACCGGCUAACUACGUG